AAACAAGUGUUGAUGAGACGAGUACACGAUUGAAAAAGUUCAGAGAGCCGGGGAAAGGUGUGAGCCCGGUCUUCAGGAGAUCAGUGGAAAAACAGCUCGGAGCUGCCGGAAGAAAUCUUAGUAGACCCGGCCGGGACUUCCCGUUACAGAAGUCGGAUAUCGGCGUUUACCAUGCCCGUAUCUUAAAAGUGAGCUGAAGCAAUUUAGCUAAACUGGGUGGUACCGCGGAAGACCUUUCCUUUCGUCCCAAUU
Molecule: non-coding RNA, 252 nt
Filed under: Proteiniclasticum ruminis
Lineage: Bacteria; Bacillati; Bacillota; Clostridia; Eubacteriales; Clostridiaceae
Description: T-box sequence
Rfam family: T-box leader
About the family: Uncharged tRNA acts as the effector for transcription antitermination of genes in the T-box leader family. T-boxes are found upstream of many aminoacyl-tRNA synthetase genes and some amino acid biosynthetic genes usually in Gram-positive bacteria.
Source: RNAcentral